GACGAACGCUGGCGGCGUGCCUAAUACAUGCAAGUUGAGCGCUGAAGGUUGGUACUUGUACCAACUGGAUGAGCAGCGAACGGGUGAGUAACGCGUGGGGAAUCUGCCUUUGAGCGGGGGACAACAUUUGGAAACGAAUGCUAAUACCGCAUAAAAACUUUAAACACAAGUUUUAAGUUUGAAAGAUGCAAUUGCAUCACUCAAAGAUGAUCCCGCGUUGUAUUAGCUAGUUGGUGAGGUAAAGGCUCACCAAGGCGAUGAUACAUAGCCGACCUGAGAGGGGGAUCGGCCACCUUGGGACUGAGACACGGCCCAAACCUCUUCGGGAAGCAGCAGGAGGGAAUCUUUGGGAAUGGAGGAAAGGCUGAACGAGGAAAGGCGGGGGAGGGAAGAAGGUUUUCGGAUCGUAAAAAUCUGUUGGUAGAGAAGAACGUUGGUGAGAGUGGAAAGCUCAUCAAGUGACGGUAACUACCCAGAAAGGGACGGCUAACUACGUG
Molecule: ribosomal RNA, 497 nt
Filed under: uncultured bacterium
Lineage: Bacteria
Description: partial 16S ribosomal RNA
Rfam family: Bacterial small subunit ribosomal RNA
Source: RNAcentral